CCCUCCGCAUCCCCGCAGAGCGGCCCCGGCCCCGAGCCGCUGCUCCCGGUGCUGCCCUGGAGAGCCCGCGGCGGCCCCCCCGGAGCCGCCUUCGCCGCCCUGCUGCAGCUGCUGCGGGAGGAGGACGCCGGUCCCCCGGCGCUGGCGUCUCCCCAGAAGCGUAAGUCCGCUCCGCUCCGCUCUGCUCCCGGACGGUGCCAGCCCCGCAGCGGUGGCCGAGGGGGGGCCCCGACGUGGGCACGGAGCGGGGCCGGGCCCGGUGGGAGCUGACACCGGGCUCUCUCCGCAGGGGACAUGCACGACUUCUUCGUGGGGCUCAUGGGGAAGCGGAUGGCGGAGCCCGGUAGGGCGGCGGGGGAGGCCCGGGGGGCUGCGGAGCCGCAGCGGAGGGGCUGAGCGCAGCCCCCCUGCUCCCCAGGGCCCCCCCCGGACGCCCCCAGGGCCGCCGGGUCCCAGCGCCGGGCAGCGUGAGGAGGGACCGGGGGGCGGCAGCGCCGGGACCCCCCCCUCCGGGCUCCGUCCCGGGCAUCGCGGGGGGGCUCCGGGGGCCGUGUCCUGGUGCCUCGGAGCGGGCGGCGGCUGCGGGGCCAGCAGGGGCCGGAGGCGAGCAGCGACUGCGGAGCCGUCGUGGGAGCCCGUCGGGGCCGGGACCGGGACCGGGACCGGGAGUGGGGCCGGGGCUGGGGGCGGGAGCGGGGCUGGGGGCGGGAUCGGGGCCGCGCUGCCGUCCGCGCUGUACGGGCACCAGAUCCCAAACAUCGCCCCCAGCCCUGGCUCGCUCCGUGCCUCCGCUGCGCCUCGACGGGACCCGACGGGCCCGGGAGGGACACGGGGAGGACACGGGGCGGGGAGGAGACACGGGGGGGGGGCUGCCCAUGGGCUACAACGACCCCCCCACACACCUCCCCCCCCCACAUCCCCACAUCUCCACCUGCCCCAGCUCCCCUCGACGUCGCCCCCCGG
RNAcentral lists this long non-coding RNA (963 nucleotides) under Anas platyrhynchos platyrhynchos (common mallard). RNAcentral describes it as "lncRNA (ENSAPLG00000028096.1)". The record is from RNAcentral. Lineage: Eukaryota; Metazoa; Chordata; Aves; Anseriformes; Anatidae.